Molecule: ribosomal RNA, 460 nt
Filed under: uncultured bacterium
Lineage: Bacteria
Description: partial 16S ribosomal RNA
Rfam family: Bacterial small subunit ribosomal RNA
Source: RNAcentral
CCUACGGGUGGCAGCAGUGAGGAAUAUUGGUCAAUGGGCGCGAGCCUGAACCAGCCAAGUCGCGUGAAGGAUGACUGCCCUACGGGUUGUAAACUUCUUUUGUAAAGGAAUAAAGUGAGGCACGUGUGCCUUUUUGUAUGUACUUUAUGAAUAAGCAUCGGCUAACUCCGUGCCAGCAGCCGCGGUAAUACGGAGGAUCCGAGCGUUAUCCGGAUUUAUUGGGUUUAAAGGGAGCGUAGAUGGGUUGUUAAGUCAGUUGUGAAAGUUUGCGGCUCAACCGUAAAAUUGCAAUUGAUACUGGCAGCCUUGAGUAGAGGAGAGGUAGGCGGAAUGCGUGGUGUAGCGGUGAAAUGCUUAGAUAUCACGAAGAACUCCGAUUGCGAAGGCAGCUUACUAAACUGCCACUGACAUUGAUGCUCGAAAGUGUGGGUAUCAAACAGGAUUAGAUACCCUAGUAGUC